RNAcentral lists this unclassified non-coding RNA (245 nucleotides) under fungal sp. Its description in RNAcentral is "partial internal transcribed spacer region". The stretch from base 1 to 46 matches the Rfam family "Eukaryotic small subunit ribosomal RNA", at positions 1786 to 1831 of the family's 1831-position model. Lineage: Eukaryota; Fungi. The record is from RNAcentral.
AAGUCGUAACAAGGUUUCCGUAGGUGAACCUGCGGAAGGAUCAUUACUGAGAUAGUGUGGGGGGAUGUUAUAUUCUCCCUCACAACAUUUGCUCGGGUUGGGAGUGAUUGAGGGAAGUGUGCUUGUGCACAACAUUUGCACACCCUUCAAUCUCGACCACCCAGACAUUCACGAGUGUUGUGUGUGACUGUGUAAUAAACGAUACAUUAUUAUGACAACUUUUAACAAUGGAUCUCUUGGCUCUU